RNAcentral lists this ribosomal RNA (382 nucleotides) under uncultured eukaryote. RNAcentral's name for it is "partial 18S ribosomal RNA". It matches the Rfam family "Eukaryotic small subunit ribosomal RNA", at positions 592 to 976 of the family's 1831-position model. The record is from RNAcentral.
UGUAAGCGUAUACCAAAGUUGUUGCAGUUAAAACGCUCGUAGUCGGACUUUGGCAGUUCCGGAUGUGUGCACGUCGUGUGCGCACUUCGCGGGGAUUGCUUUUGUGGUCUUGCGUAGGAUGAGGCACUUUUAUUAGUGAACGUCCUCACGCAACCACUUUUUACUGUGAGAAAAUCAGAGUGCUCAAAGCAGGCAUUUGCCGUGAAUGUAUUAGCAUGGAAUAAUAGAAUAGGACUUGGUUCUAUUUUGUUGGUUUGUUGGGACUGAGUAAUGAUUAAGAGGGACAGUUGGGGGCAUUUGUAUUUCGGUGCUAGAGGUGAAAUUCUUAGAUUACCGAAAGACAGACUGCUGCGAAAGCGUCUGCCAAGGAUGUUUUCAUUGA